ACGGGAGGCAGCAGUGGGGAAUAUUGCACAAUGGGCGAAAGCCUGAUGCAGCGACGCCGCGUGAGUGAAGAAGUAUUUCGGUAUGUAAAGCUCUAUCAGCAGGGAAGAAAAAUGACGGUACCUGACUAAGAAGCACCGGCUAAAUACGUGCCAGCAGCCGCGGUAAUACGUAUGGUGCAAGCGUUAUCCGGAUUUACUGGGUGUAAAGGGAGCGCAGGCGGUACGGCAAGUCUGAUGUGAAAGCCCGGGGCUCAACCCCGGUACUGCAUUGGAAACUGUCGAACUAGAGUGUCGGAGGGGUAAGCGGAAUUCCUAGUGUAGCGGUGAAAUGCGUAGAUAUUAGGAAGAACACCAGUGGCGAAGGCGGUUAGCUGGACAAUAACUGACGCUGAGGCGCGAAAGCGUGGGUAGCAAACAGGAUUAGAUACCCUGGUA
Molecule: ribosomal RNA, 435 nt
Filed under: uncultured Lachnospiraceae bacterium
Lineage: Bacteria; Bacillati; Bacillota; Clostridia; Lachnospirales; Lachnospiraceae
Description: partial 16S ribosomal RNA
Rfam family: Bacterial small subunit ribosomal RNA
Source: RNAcentral